RNAcentral lists this ribosomal RNA (435 nucleotides) under uncultured bacterium. RNAcentral describes it as "partial 16S ribosomal RNA". It matches the Rfam family "Bacterial small subunit ribosomal RNA", at positions 29 to 507 of the family's 1533-position model. The record is from RNAcentral.
AACGAACGCUGGCGGCAUGCCUAACACAUGCAAGUCGAACGAUUGCCUUCGGGUGAUAGUGGCGCACGGGUGCGUAACGCGUGGGAAUCUGCCCUUUGGUUCGGAAUAACAGCUGGAAACGGCUGCUAAUACCGGAUGAUAUCGCGAGAUCAAAGAUUUAUCGCCUGAGGAUGAGCCCGCGUUGGAUUAGGUAGUUGGUGGGGUAAAGGCCUACCAAGCCGACGAUCCAUAGCUGGUCUGAGAGGAUGAUCAGCCACACUGGGACUGAGACACGGCCCAGACUCCUACGGGAGGCAGCAGUGGGGAAUAUUGGACAAUGGGCGCAAGCCUGAUCCAGCAAUGCCGCGUGAGUGAUGAAGGCCCUAGGGUUGUAAAGCUCUUUUACCCGGGAAGAUAAUGACUGUACCGGGAGAAUAAGCCCCGGCUAACUCCGUG